GACGAACGCUGGCGGUGUGCUUAAUACAUGCAAGUCGAACGAAGCUUUCGGGCUUAGUGGCGGACGGCAGAGUAACGCGUAGGUAACGUGCCUUUUACUGGGGGAUAACAUCGGGAAACCGGUGCUAAUACCGCAUAAGUCGCGAGUUGAAAUACUUGUGAUUAAAGAAAUUCGGUAAGAGAUCGGCCUGCGUCUGAUUAGCUAGUUGGUAGGGUAAUGGCCUACCAAGGCGAUGAUCAGUAGUUGGUCUGAGAGGAUGACCAGCCAGAGUGGGACUGAGACCGGCCCACACUUCUACGGAAGGCAGCAGUAGGGAAUUUUGCGCAAUGGGCGAAAGCCUGACGCAGCAACACCGCGUGCGGGAUGAAGGCCUUCGGGUUGUAAACCGCUGUCGGCAGGGAAUAAAUUGACUGUACCUGCAAAGGAAGCACCGGCUAACUACGUGCCAGCCGCCGCGGUAA
This 461-nucleotide ribosomal RNA is filed under the name uncultured bacterium. RNAcentral's name for it is "partial 16S ribosomal RNA". It matches the Rfam family "Bacterial small subunit ribosomal RNA", at positions 28 to 523 of the family's 1533-position model. The record is from RNAcentral.